This 253-nucleotide ribosomal RNA is filed under the name uncultured bacterium. RNAcentral's name for it is "partial 16S ribosomal RNA". It matches the Rfam family "Bacterial small subunit ribosomal RNA", at positions 524 to 776 of the family's 1533-position model. The record is from RNAcentral.
UACGGGGGGGGCAAGCGUUGUUCGGAAUUACUGGGCGUAAAGGGCGCGUAGGCGGUUUGCUAAGUUGAAUGUGAAAACUCUGGGCUUAACCCAGAGCCUGCAUUCAAUACUGGCAGGCUAGAGUUCUGGAGGGGAUAGCGGAAUUCCUGGUGUAGCGGUGAAAUGCGCAGAUAUCGGGAGGAACACCAGUAGCGAAGGCGGCACUCUGGGCCGGUACUGACGCUGAGGAGCGAAAGCGUGGGGAGCAAACAGG